This 659-nucleotide ribosomal RNA is filed under the name uncultured bacterium. RNAcentral's name for it is "bacterial SSU rRNA". It matches the Rfam family "Bacterial small subunit ribosomal RNA", at positions 37 to 694 of the family's 1533-position model. The record is from RNAcentral.
AGGGGGGGGGGGCUACAAUGCCAGUUCGAGCGGUACAUUUCUAGCUUGCUAGAAGAUGACGAGCGGCGGACGGGUGAGAAAAGCUUGGGAAUAUGCCUUAGGAUGGGGGACAACAGCUGGAAACGACUGCUAAUACCGCAUAACGUCUACGGACCAAAGGGGGCUUCGGCUCUCGCCCUUAGAUUAGCCCAAGUGGGAUUAGCUAGUUGGUGAGGUAAUGGCUCACCAAGGCGACGAUCCCUAGCUGGUUUGAGAGGAUGAUCAGCCACACUGGAACUGAGACACGGUCCAGACUCCUACGGGAGGCAGCAGUGGGGAAUAUUGCACAAUGGGCGCAAGCCUGAUGCAGCCAUGCCGCGUGUGUGAAGAAGGCCUUAGGGUUGUAAAGCACUUUCAGUAAGGAGGAAAGGUUAGUAGUUAAUACCUGCUAGCUGUGACGUUACUUACAGAAGAAGCACCGGCUAACUCCGUGCCAGCAGCCGCGGUAAUACGGAGGGUGCGAGCGUUAAUCGGAAUUACUGGGCGUAAAGCGUACGCAGGCGGUUUGUUAAGCGAGAUGUGAAAGCCCCGGGCUCAACCUGGGAACUGCAUUUCGAACUGGCAAACUAGAGUAUGAUAGAGGGUGGUAGAAUUUCAGGUGUAGCGGUGAAAUGCGUAGA